GAUGAACGCUAGCGGCAGGCUUAACACAUGCAAGUCGAGGGGUAGGAGAAGCUUGCUUUUCUGAGACCGGCGCACGGGUGCGUAACGCGUAUGCAAUCUACCUUUCACAGAGGGAUAGCCCAGAGAAAUUUGGAUUAAUACCUCAUAGUAAUACGACUUGGCAUCAAGAUGUAUUUAAAGAUUUAUCGGUGAAAGAUGAGCAUGCGUCCCAUUAGCUAGUUGGUAUGGUAACGGCAUACCAAGGCAACGAUGGGUAGGGGUCCUGAGAGGGAGAUCCCCCACACUGGUACUGAGACACGGACCAGACUCCUACGGGAGGCAGCAGUGAGGAAUAUUGGACAAUGGGCGCAAGCCUGAUCCAGCCAUGCCGCGUGCAGGAUGACAGUCCUAUGGAUUGUAAACUGCUUUUAUACAGGAAGAAACACCUCUACGUGUAGAGACUUGACGGUACUGUAAGAAUAAGGAUCGGCUAACUCCGUGCCAGCAGCCGCGGUAAUACGGAGGAUCCAAGCGUUAUCCGGAAUCAUUGGGUUUAAAGGGUCCGUAGGCGGUCAGAUAAGUCAGUGGUGAAAGCCCAUCGCUCAACGGUGGAACGGCCAUUGAUACUGUCUGACUUGAAUUAUUAGGAAGUAACUAGAAUAUGUAGUGUAGCGGUGAAAUGCUUAGAGAUUACAUGGAAUACCAAUUGCGAAGGCAGGUUACUACUAAUUGAUUGACGCUGAUGGACGAAAGCGUGGGUAGCGAACAGGAUUAGAUACCCUGGUAGUCCACGCCGUAAACGAUGGAUACUAGCUGUUGGGAGCAAUCUCAGUGGCUAAGCGAAAGUGAUAAGUAUCCCACCUGGGGAGUACGAACGCAAGUUUGAAACUCAAAGGAAUUGACGGGGGCCCGCACAAGCGGUGGAGCAUGUGGUUUAAUUCGAUGAUACGCGAGGAACCUUACCAAGGCUUAAAUGUAGAUUGACCGUUUGGAAACAGAACU
This 981-nucleotide ribosomal RNA is filed under the name uncultured bacterium. RNAcentral's name for it is "bacterial SSU rRNA". It matches the Rfam family "Bacterial small subunit ribosomal RNA", at positions 28 to 1013 of the family's 1533-position model. The record is from RNAcentral.